AGAGUUUGAUCCUGGCUCAGAACGUACGCUGGCGGCACGCCUUAUACAUGCAAGUCGAACGAAGUAGCAAUACUUAGUGGCAGACGGGUGAGUAACAUGUGGGUAUCUUCCCUUUGGUGAGGAAUAACACGAGGAAACUUGCGCUAAUACCUCAUAAGUCUUUACGGAGAAAGCUUUAUGCGCCGAAGGAUGAGCCCGCACUUGAUUAGUUUGUUGGUGGGGUAAUGGCCUACCAAGACUUUGAUCAAUAGCUGAUCUGAGAGGAUGAUCAGCCACAUUGGGACUGAGACACGGCCCAAACUCCUACGGGAGGCAGCAGUAGGGAAUAUUGCACAAUGGAGGAAACUCUGAUGCAGCGAUGCCGCGUGAGUGAAGAAGGCCUUUGGGUUGUAAAGCUCUUUCGUCGGGGAAGAAAAUGACUGUACCCGAAUAAGAAGGUCCGGCUAACUUCGUGCCAGCAGCCGCGGUAAUACGAAGGGACCUAGCGUAGUUCGGAAUUACUGGGCUUAAAGAGUUCGUAGGUGGGUAAAAUAGUUGGUUGUGAAAUCCCGGAGCUUAACUCCGGAACUGCAAUCAAAACUU
This 582-nucleotide ribosomal RNA is filed under the name uncultured marine bacterium. Its description in RNAcentral is "bacterial SSU rRNA". It matches the Rfam family "Bacterial small subunit ribosomal RNA", at positions 8 to 635 of the family's 1533-position model. The record is from RNAcentral.